UUAGAGUUUAAUUCUAGUUUAACAUUUAAAUUUAAGAUUAUUUUACAUGCAAUUUUUUGAUUGAUUUAUAAGUUUCUCAAAGAAACUUAAUUAAUUCGCAGUAUUUACUAUUAAAAAUUAAUAAAAUUAGAAUUAGUAAUUUUUUAAAAAAGAAUCAAAUUUCGUGCCAGCAGUUGCGGUUAUACGAUUUCUUUAAUUUAAAUAUUUAAGUUUCAGUUAAUUAAAUGAUAAUAUAUAAUAUAUAUAAUUUUGGUAAAAUAUAUUUUUUUGUUAAAGUUUUAUUUUAUGUCUGAAAAAUUUUUAAUAUAAACUAGGAUUAGAUACCCUACUAUUAUAAGUGUAAUAAAAACAACUUGAUCACUAUUAGCAAAGAUCUUUAAAUUCAAAGAAUUUGGCGGUAAUUUAUCUUAUCAGAGGAACCUGUUUUAUGAUUGAUAAUCCACGAUAGAAUAAACUUUAAUUUAAUUUGUAUAUCUCUGUCAAGAAUGUUUUAUAAGAAAAAUUUUCAUAUAUUUUAUAUAUUAUAUGUCAGGUCAAGGUGCAGUUUAUAUUAAAGAAAAAAUGGGUUACAAUUAAAUUUUUAUUAAAUUGCUUUUUUUUUGAAAGUAUGAAAUUGGAUUUGACAAUAAGUUAAUUAAAUUUAAUUAAUUGAAAUUAGCCCUAAAUUAUGUACAUAUCGCCCGUCACUCUCAAUAUAUUAAUGAGAUAAGUCGUAACAAAGUAGCUGUACCGGAAGGUGUAGCUAGAAAGA
This 751-nucleotide non-coding RNA is filed under the name Kosemia yezoensis. The record is from RNAcentral. Lineage: Eukaryota; Metazoa; Arthropoda; Insecta; Hemiptera; Cicadidae.